AGCCAUAUGUUGGCAAUGAAUAUUGCUGUGAGGUAAAAAGUCAGACUGAUUUUUCUCACUCUUAAGUAAGCUCAUAUUUUUUCCUUAUAUCCUCAAUGGAGUUUCCCCUUGCUUUUGAGCCACUGUAACUAUUAUUUCCCGAGAUAAAAUAUAUUCAUUCAAUAUGUAGCAUCAGAUCUUUUAUUUCAAAGGAAAAAUCUUGAAUAUUAUAUCUGAACAUUUUCCUCUUCCAAGUAUACAUUUCUUUCUCAUUUCUUUUCCAUUUCAUUAUUUUUAUUUUCCUCGUUUUUUUUUUUUUUUUUUUAUCCUGGCUGUACUAUCAGCAGAUUCUGUCCUUCCUUUACCUGCUCCCAAUGUGGCCUUCAUUUAUAUGAUGUGAGGUUCAAUUUUCAUUUCCACUUCUUUUUUGAGCUCUGCCAGCUUACUUUUUCAUUUCCUUUUGUUGUCUUUUCAUUUAUUCCAUGAACCCCUGUAUCUCUGCAUUGCACUCACAUUUUAUAGAGAACACUUUUUCAUUACAUCCUUUGAAUUCUUGGAAGAGAUUCUGGUUAAUAUCUUCAUGUGCUCCAUAGCAAAACUUUUCUGCUGUUGUUUCAUCUGCCUUUUCUUUUUCAUAUUCCUUUAUUCCUUUUUCCUUCUUACAGAAUUUGCACUAAAACAGCAAGGGAAGCUUUGAACAGUUUCAUUUUUUGUUUGUAAAAUGAGAGAAGUAUUUUUUUGUACAAGCUUCAUUUUUUAAUGCACCACAUAUUUCUGGAAGGAUAGUGUCUAUUUAGGGUUAGAAAAAUGAUCUCAGCUAGAAGAAAGCCUUCUUCGUCCAGAGUGCAGCUCCAUAUAACACAAGGUGUGGGAUGUAUGUAUGUGUAUGUAUAUUUGUGUGUGUUGAGCUUCUCUUCAGUUGCAAGGCUGCUAAACUACCCCACAGAUUCCCUUCUGUCCUAGUGCAGAGUUAAAAACAUGGUAUGUCUGUAUAAUUCUUGUUUUGUUUUGUUUUGUUUUUGCCCAGUUUUCCUCCACUCUAAGAUGUUCAGUGGGAUUCAGAGAAGUUUCAAUAGCCCUCCUAUUCACCCAAUCUUUAUUUUUCAGGAAAGUGUCCUUAGUUUUGCUCUGUGUGUGUGCCAUGGAGAAGUGGCUGCUCUGCUGGCCCUACUUAAGAUCUAUAGGGGCCCAGUAUUCUCCCGAAAAAUCCCUGUUUUCUGAAACUUGACAGCUCUUCUCUCCUUAUGAUAGUAAUAAUAAAUACUACAAUUAGGAUAAGAAAAUUU
Molecule: long non-coding RNA, 1265 nt
Filed under: Homo sapiens (human)
Lineage: Eukaryota; Metazoa; Chordata; Mammalia; Primates; Hominidae
Description: HSALNT0316036
Source: RNAcentral